GAUGAACGCUGACAGAAUGCUUAACACACGCAAGUCUACUUGAACUUCGGUUUGGGUGGCGGACGGGUGAGUAACGCGUAAAGAACUUGCCUCACAGUUAGGGACAACAUUUGGAAACGAAUGCUAAUACCUGAUAUUAUGAUUUUAGGGCAUCCUAAGAUUAUGAAAGCUAUAUGCGCUGUGAGAGAGCUUUGCGUCCCAUUAGCUAGUUGGAGAGGUAACGGCUCACCAAGGCGAUGAUGGGUAGCCGGCCUGAGAGGGUGAACGGCCACAAGGGGACUGAGACACGGCCCUUACUCCUACGGGAGGCAGCAGUGGGGAAUAUUGGACAAUGGACCAAAAGUCUGAUCCAGCAAUUCUGUGUGCACGAUGACGUUUUUCGGAAUGUAAAGUGCUUUCAGUUGGGAAGAAAAAAAUGACGGUACCAACAGAAGAAGUGACGGCUAAAUACGUGCCAGCAGCCGCGGUAAUACGUAUGUCACAAGCGUUAUCCGGAUUUAUUGGGCGUAAAGCGCGUCUAGGUGGUUAUGUAAGUCUGAUGUGAAAAUGCAGGGCUCAACUCUGUAUUGCGUUGGAAACUGCAUGACUAGAGUACCGGAGAGGUAAGCGGAACUACAAGUGUAGAGGUGAAAUUCGUAGAUAUUUGUAGGAAUGCCGAUGGGGAAGCCAGCUUACUGGACAGAUACUGACGCUAAAGCGCGAAAGCGUGGGUAGCAAACAGG
This 722-nucleotide ribosomal RNA is filed under the name uncultured Fusobacterium sp. RNAcentral describes it as "bacterial SSU rRNA". It matches the Rfam family "Bacterial small subunit ribosomal RNA", at positions 28 to 776 of the family's 1533-position model. Lineage: Bacteria; Fusobacteriati; Fusobacteriota; Fusobacteriia; Fusobacteriales; Fusobacteriaceae. The record is from RNAcentral.